CCUGGGAUGACCCAGUUCCCUCAUUUUGCGUGGAGCGGCAUUUAAAAGAUCUUGUUCGAUUUGAAGACACAGAAUAUGAUAUCUGUCUCAAAAAUGAAAAAAGAUUUGAAGUAAAGAAAUAAUACAUCAAGUGACAACGGAACAUUGGUGUCCAUCGUAACUG
Molecule: long non-coding RNA, 163 nt
Organism: Lingula anatina
Lineage: Eukaryota; Metazoa; Brachiopoda; Lingulata; Lingulida; Lingulidae
Source: RefSeq, a predicted model, not a curated record